GAGAGAGAGAGAGAGAGAGAAGACCUUAUUCUGGUUUCAAAUGUGGACCCUAGCAAGUCCAAUAAAUUCAUCAGAUUCUAAACUAUAUAAAUUCUUCUCUUUUUUUUCUGCUCAUCAAAUUUUACAAUCUAAAAUGUUCAAGCACCAGAAUUUGGAGAAAUAAAAAUUCAAACAUAUCAAGAUUCUCAUUUUAGUUGAAACAGAUGUUAAAGUUGUUGUAGCAAAAGACCGCGACCAAAGAAAUGCAUAGGAAAAUAAGGGAAAGAAAGAAUGUAGGACACACCCUAGGACAAUUUAACUGGACCUAUUUCUAAACAUCAAUUAAUAUGGACUGUAUGAUGAUCUAUGAUUGUGUUCAUCAAAUCAAUCCCUUAAAAUACAUGCUUUUGGAAAAUUUCUUGGGCAAAAAUUUAGUUGCUAUUAUUCAUGUAAGUAAUGGUGUUAUGAAAGGUGGAAGGCUAGUCAAAACUAUGAAGGGCAAAAGUUUAGUCAUAGCAAGUACUUAGUCAAAACUAUUCAUGCGAUUUUUGAAGUGAUUUGGCAGUUUAAAGGAAAUGCAAAUGAUUUGUUAGAAGCUAAAAUGUUCAUGUGAUAAUUAGAGAAUCCAUAAAUGGCAAUGAUACGAUUUGUGUUGAUGGGUACUGUUUAAUUUUUCAUCAUUUGGGUUGAUUUAAUUUGUUUUGAUUUCAGUCUGAAUAAGUUUGAUAAAUAUGGUUUGAUUUACAAUUAAAUGAGGUGUUGAUAUCUUGAGUAUACCAUUUUUCAGUUCACUAUUAAGAAUUAUUUUAGUGUAUAACUGUUAACACAUACUGUGCUUCUAUAUUAUACUAGG
Molecule: unclassified non-coding RNA, 832 nt
Filed under: Hevea brasiliensis (rubber tree)
Lineage: Eukaryota; Viridiplantae; Streptophyta; Magnoliopsida; Malpighiales; Euphorbiaceae
Source: RNAcentral